Molecule: ribosomal RNA, 479 nt
Filed under: Dialister pneumosintes
Lineage: Bacteria; Bacillati; Bacillota; Negativicutes; Veillonellales; Veillonellaceae
Description: bacterial SSU rRNA
Rfam family: Bacterial small subunit ribosomal RNA
Source: RNAcentral
GACGAACGCUGGCGGCGUGCUUAACACAUGCAAGUCGAACGGAAAGAGAUGAAAGAGCUUGCUCUUUUAUUAAUUUCAGUGGCAAACGGGUGAGUAACACGUAAACAACCUGCCUUAAGGAUGGGGAUAACAGACGGAAACGACUGCUAAUACCGAAUACGUUCUAAGCAUCGCAUGAUGCAUAGAAGAAAGGGUGGCCUCUACAAGAAAGCUAUCGCCUUAAGAGGGGUUUGCGACUGAUUAGGUAGUUGGUGAGGUAACGGCUCACCAAGCCGACGAUCAGUAGCCGGUCUGAGAGGAUGAACGGCCACACUGGAACUGAGACACGGUCCAGACUCCUACGGGAGGCAGCAGUGGGGAAUCUUCCGCAAUGGACGAAAGUCUGACGGAGCAACGCCGCGUGAACGAAGAAGGUCUUCGGAUUGUAAAGUUCUGUGAUUCGGGACGAAAGGGUUUGUGGUGAAUAAUCAUAGACAUUG